This 464-nucleotide ribosomal RNA is filed under the name uncultured Iamiaceae bacterium. RNAcentral describes it as "bacterial SSU rRNA". It matches the Rfam family "Bacterial small subunit ribosomal RNA", at positions 394 to 873 of the family's 1533-position model. The record is from RNAcentral. Lineage: Bacteria; Bacillati; Actinomycetota; Acidimicrobiia; Acidimicrobiales; Iamiaceae.
ACGCCGCGUGAGGGAUGACGGCUUUCGGGUUGUAAACCUCUUUCAGUGAUGACGAAAAUGACGGUAGUCACAGAAGAAGCUCCGGCCAACUACGUGCCAGCAGCCGCGGUAACACGUAGGGAGCGAGCGUUGUCCGGAUUUAUUGGGCGUAAAGAGCUCGUAGGCGGUUUCGUAAGUCGGAUGUGGAAACUCAGGGCUCAACCCUGAGACGCCAUCUGAUACUGCGAUGACUAGAGUCCGGUAGAGGAGCAUGGAAUUCCUGGUGUAGCGGUGGAAUGCGCAGAUAUCAGGAGGAACACCAACGGCGAAGGCAGUGCUCUGGGCCGGUACUGACGCUGAGGAGCGAAAGCAUGGGGAGCAAACAGGAUUAGAUACCCUGGUAGUCCAUGCCGUAAACGUUGGGCACUAGGUGUGGGGUCUUCUAACGGACUCCGUGCCGUAGCUAACGCAUUAAGUGCCCCGCC